RNAcentral lists this ribosomal RNA (439 nucleotides) under uncultured bacterium. RNAcentral describes it as "partial 16S ribosomal RNA". It matches the Rfam family "Bacterial small subunit ribosomal RNA", at positions 339 to 795 of the family's 1533-position model. The record is from RNAcentral.
CUACGGGUCGCACCAGUGGGGAAUCUUAGACAAUGGGGGCAACCCUGAUCUAGCCAUGCCGCGUGAGUGAUGAGGGCCUUAGGGUCGUAAAGCUCUUUCGCCUGUGAUGAUAAUGACAGUAGCAGGUAAAGAAACCCCGGCUAACUCCGUGCCAGCAGCCGCGGUAAUACGGAGGGGGUUAGCGUUGUUCGGAAUUACUGGGCGUAAAGCGCGCGUAGGCGGAUUAGAAAGUUGGGGGUGAAAUCCCGGGGCUCAACCCCGGAACUGCCUCCAAAACUGCUAGUCUAGAGUUCGAGAGAGGUGAGUGGAAUUCCGAGUGUAGAGGUGAAAUUCGUAGAUAUUCGGAGGAACACCAGUGGCGAAGGCGGCUCACUGGCUCGAUACUGACGCUGAGGUGCGAAAGUGUGGGGAGCAAACAGGAUUAGAUACCCGAGUAGUC